Triticum aestivum (bread wheat) is the source of this 1233-nucleotide long non-coding RNA. RefSeq lists it as uncharacterized. The transcript is spliced from 6 exons. Lineage: Eukaryota; Viridiplantae; Streptophyta; Magnoliopsida; Poales; Poaceae. The record is from RefSeq and is a predicted model, not a curated record.
CACCAUUUGCGGGGGCGUGGCCCAAUCCAAUCGCCCACACUCCGCAACCCUCCCUCCCUCCUCAAUCUCUCUCCCUCAGCCGCCACAAACCCUAGGUCCUCCCCUUCUGCCCUGCUCUCCACUGCGCCGCCUCCUCCUCCCCUUCACCAUUCCCUCCAGCGGCAGGCACAGGGAGACAACGGCGGCGCUUGAUUUCAUCCGCCCUGCUCCCCUCCCUCUCCAUUGCGCCUCGGCCUCGGCCACCCCGUGCUCUGCCGGCGCCCGUCGGCCUCGAUCCAGCCUCAGCAGGAGGAGCUCGUCGUCGAGACACGAGGAGGGGAGCAGCAGGAUACAGGAGCAUGGCCUUCUUCUCGCGCUGCAGCCGCCGGCCUUGUCGUGCUCGAGGAGGAGGAGCAGCAGGAGGGGUGCACCCAGCCACCAAGGUAGCCGUCGUCGAGGGCUUCUUACACCUGAACCUCGACCUCCACGGCGCUGGCGUCCAGCCACUCGAGUUCAAGGGAAGGAGAGGAGGAUGACGCCCAGACAUGGAGAGGAACAGCAGUAGCUCAAGAAAAAUGAAGCAUGACAAGCUGGAGAAGCUCGCAUGGACAUCCAAUUUCAUGUACCACUCAACUGAACCGAGUUACUUGUGGAGACUAUAAGAAGAAUUUAUAGGAAGAGAUUGAUCAAGAAGAGCAAGGAGCAGGCUGACACCCGUAGUUGUUUGGCAUCAAAUUCAGAAGAUACACAUCAUAAGAUUGAAGCAAUGCUACCUGAACCAAAGGGUUGUACGCCCACCAUUAUUAAUAUUCCAUACUAUUCGUGUUCUUCAGAUCCCAAUAAUUUAUUUGGUCUUGCUUUUGACACAAAACACAAGUAUAGGCAAAGAGAAGACGAGGUCGAACUCCAACACCGGAAGGUAUCUUGGCACCAAACCAUCAUGAGGAGAAGGGGAUGUGUUGCUGUACAUGAGAUAAGCAGCCCAGUUCAGAAGUGCUUUAUAGAGGUCCUGUAAGCUUUCUAGACAUACAUGUUGUUUCCAGUCUCUCUCGGCUUCCCCAAUCCUAGAGGUAAUAAUAUGAUUUCUUUAUGUUGUUUGCCCAAAUUAAGAAGUGAACUUUUGCUGCAUAUUUGCUCGAUGUGUGUCUUGUAAACUCUAAGCUUUCUAGGCGUACAUGUGCACAUGUAUUUGUCAGUUACUAAUAUGAAUUCUGGAUGUUGUUUGCCGAAAUUCAGAAUUGAACUUUUGCUGAA